This 305-nucleotide ribosomal RNA is filed under the name uncultured bacterium. Its description in RNAcentral is "bacterial SSU rRNA". It matches the Rfam family "Bacterial small subunit ribosomal RNA", at positions 333 to 653 of the family's 1533-position model. The record is from RNAcentral.
GACUUCCUACGGGGGGCAGCAGUGGGGAAUAUUGGGCAAUGGGCGCAAGCCUGACCCAGCAACGCCGCGUGAAGGAAGAAGGCUUUCGGGUUGUAAACUUCUUUUAAGAGGGAAGAGAAGAAGACGGUACCUCUUGAAUAAGCCACGGCUAACUACGUGCCAGCAGCCGCGGUAAUACGUAGGUGGCAAGCGUUGUCCGGAUUUACUGGGUGUAAAGGGUUUGCAGCCGGGAAGACAAGCCAGAUGUGAAAUCCCGCGGCUCAACCGCGGAACUGCAUUUGACACUGUUUUUCUUUAGUACCGGG